This 91-nucleotide transfer RNA is filed under the name Bdellovibrionales bacterium. RNAcentral's name for it is "tRNA-Leu". It matches the Rfam family "tRNA". From Rfam's summary of the family: Transfer RNA (tRNA) molecules are approximately 80 nucleotides in length. Their secondary structure includes four short double-helical elements and three loops (D, anti-codon, and T loops). The record is from RNAcentral. Lineage: Bacteria; Pseudomonadati; Bdellovibrionota; Bdellovibrionia; Bdellovibrionales.
GCCGGGGUGGCGAAAUUGGUAGACGCACGGGACUUAAAAUCCCGAGGGCACUUAUCUGCCCGUGUCGGUUCGAGUCCGACCCCCGGUACCA